CCUACGGGGGGCUGCAGUGGGGAAUAUUGGACAAUGGGGGCAACCCUGAUCCAGCCAUGCCGCGUGUGUGAAGAAGGCCCUCGGGUUGUAAAGCACUUUCAGUGAGGAAGAACGCCUGGUGGUUAAUACCCAUUAGGAAAGACAUCACUCACAGAAGAAGCACCGGCUAACUCCGUGCCAGCAGCCGCGGUAAUACGGAGGGUGCGAGCGUUAAUCGGAAUUACUGGGCGUAAAGCGCGCGUAGGUGGCUUGAUAAGCCGGUUGUGAAAGCCCCGGGCUCAACCUGGGAACGGCAUCCGGAACUGUCAAGCUAGAGUGCAGGAGAGGAAGGUAGAAUUCCCGGUGUAGCGGUGAAAUGCGUAGAGAUCGGGAGGAAUACCAGUGGCGAAGGCGGCCUUCUGGACUGACACUGACACUGAGGUGCGAAAGCGUGGGUAGCAAACAGGAUUAGAUACCCUGGUAGUC
RNAcentral lists this ribosomal RNA (465 nucleotides) under Vreelandella stevensii. Its description in RNAcentral is "partial 16S ribosomal RNA". It matches the Rfam family "Bacterial small subunit ribosomal RNA", at positions 338 to 795 of the family's 1533-position model. Lineage: Bacteria; Pseudomonadati; Pseudomonadota; Gammaproteobacteria; Oceanospirillales; Halomonadaceae. The record is from RNAcentral.